Molecule: ribosomal RNA, 492 nt
Filed under: uncultured bacterium
Lineage: Bacteria
Description: partial 16S ribosomal RNA
Rfam family: Bacterial small subunit ribosomal RNA
Source: RNAcentral
AGUGAACGCUGGCGGUAGGCCUAACACAUGCAAGUCGAACGGCAGCACAGUAAGAGCUUGCUCUUACGGGUGGCGAGUGGCGGGCGGGUGAGGAAUACAUCGGGAUCUACUUUUUCGUGGGGGAUAACGUAGGGAAACUUACGCUAAUACCGCAUACGACCUACGGGUGAAAGCAGGGGAUCUUCGGACCUUGCGCGAUUGAAUGAGCCGAUGUCGGAUUAGCUAGUUGGCGGGGUAAAGGCCCACCAAGGCGACGAUCCGUAGCUGGUCUGAGAGGAUGAUCAGCCACACUGGAACUGAGACACGGUCCAGACUCCUACGGGAGGCAGCAGUGGGGAAUAUUGGACAAUGGGCGCAAGCCUGAUCCAGCCAUACCGCGUGGGUGAAGAAGGCCUUCGGGUUGUAAAGCCCUUUUGUUGGGAAAGAAAAGCAGCAGGUUAAUACCCCGCUGUUCUGACGGUACCCAAAGAAUAAGCACCGGCUAACUUCGUG